CCCUUAGAUGUUCUGGGCCGCACACGCGCUACACUGAAGGAGGCAGCGUGUACUCCUGGAUCGAAAGAUUUGGGUAACCCGCGAAUCUCCUUCGUGCUAGGGAUUGAGGUUUGCAAUUAUCCUUCAUGAACGAGGAAUUCCCAGUAAGUGCAAGUCAUAAGCUUGCGCUGACUACGUCCCUGCCCUUUGUACACACCGCCCGUCGCUACUACCGAUUGAAUGGUCCGGUGAAUCUUUAGGACUGUGGCUGAGGCCUUGCCUUGUGCGGGUCUGGCCGUGGGAAUUUAGUUAAACCUUACCAUUUAGAGGAAGGUGAAGUCGUANCA
RNAcentral lists this ribosomal RNA (326 nucleotides) under uncultured eukaryote. RNAcentral describes it as "partial 18S ribosomal RNA". It matches the Rfam family "Eukaryotic small subunit ribosomal RNA", at positions 1470 to 1796 of the family's 1831-position model. The record is from RNAcentral.